RNAcentral lists this non-coding RNA (27 nucleotides) under Rattus norvegicus (Norway rat). The record is from RNAcentral. Lineage: Eukaryota; Metazoa; Chordata; Mammalia; Rodentia; Muridae.
UAGUCAUGGGUCCUUGCCUAUUUCUGG